RNAcentral lists this ribosomal RNA (425 nucleotides) under uncultured bacterium. RNAcentral's name for it is "partial 16S ribosomal RNA". It matches the Rfam family "Bacterial small subunit ribosomal RNA", at positions 354 to 796 of the family's 1533-position model. The record is from RNAcentral.
GUGAGGAAUUUUCCGCAAUGGGCGCAAGCCUGAUCCAGCCAUGCCGCGUGAGUGAUGAAGGCCUUAGGGUUGUAAAGCUCUUUCAGUGGGGACGAUAAUGACGGUACCCACAGAAGAAGCCCCGGCUAACUUCGUGCCAGCAGCCGCGGUAAUACGAAGGGGGCUAGCGUUGUUCGGAUUUACUGGGCGUAAAGCGCACGUAGGCGGAUCGUUAAGUCGGGGGUGAAAUCCUGGAGCUGAACUCCAGAACUGCCUUCGAUAAUGGCGAGCUUGAGUCCGGAAGAGGUGAGUGGAACUCCUAGUGUAGAGGUGGAAUUCGGAGAUAUUAGGAAGAACACCAGUGGCGAAGGCGGCUCACUGGUCCGGUACUGACGCUGAGGUGCGGAAGCGUGGGGAGCAAACAGGAUUAGAUACCCCUGUAGUCC